AUGGCCACUGGAAUAGCUGCCAUGAUGCUUCGAAGUGUCAUUGAAGUAAGUAUAUCAAUAUAUGAUAUGGAGAUUGAGCAUAGGCCAUACCAUCGCAAUUGCAGUUGUGCACUGCACAAGUUGAAGAGUAUUUGCUCCAAUGCUUGCCCUCCUCAACAAAGGAAUAUUUCAUUCCCCAAGAAAAAGCCUCCGUCUUCUAAGCGGCUCAUCACUAUGUGGAACAAAGAAGACCCGAAUGCGCCAUGUCAUGUAGAGGACAAAGUUUAGAGAGCUUGACACAGCAGAGCAAGAAUAAAAAGGUCAGGAAACUGCGAUUUAGCUGUUUCUCUCUCUCCUCCUCCCCCCACCCCUUCUCUUUCUUCUUGUAAAAUCAUGUCCUACUUUCAUUUACUCUUUAUGACACAAAUUGCACACAAAAGAUACCAAUAUAUGUUGGGCUCAAAUGCCCUUUUGUUGCGUAGAAAGAGUCUCUCAUCUCAGACGUACUUCAUGAAUAUCUGUUAUAUCUCCACAAGCUCCCGCCUUUAUCUUCCUCAUCCUCCUUUAAGAACCAUUCAUCAAACGGAACAAGGAACUCAGUCUCCUUUCACCUAUUACAAUCUCUCUUUAAAAUGUAGACAGGCCAGGCAUGGGGUUAGAGGUUCAACUCCUACACAGACAAAGACAAAGGAGGAUUUGGGGGAUGGUGGGGAGGUAUAUGUUUCACCAAGCACCUACUCUACACACACAAAUAGACACGUAGAUGAUGCAGGGUUCAUAGAUCCUAGCUGA
RNAcentral lists this long non-coding RNA (771 nucleotides) under Prunus dulcis (almond). RNAcentral describes it as "sRNA ncRNA". The record is from RNAcentral. Lineage: Eukaryota; Viridiplantae; Streptophyta; Magnoliopsida; Rosales; Rosaceae.